Lupinus angustifolius (narrow-leaved blue lupine) is the source of this 73-nucleotide transfer RNA. It matches the Rfam family "tRNA". From Rfam's summary of the family: Transfer RNA (tRNA) molecules are approximately 80 nucleotides in length. Their secondary structure includes four short double-helical elements and three loops (D, anti-codon, and T loops). Further hydrogen bonds mediate the characteristic L-shaped molecular structure. tRNAs have two regions of fundamental functional importance: the anti-codon, which is responsible for specific mRNA codon recognition, and the 3' end, to which the tRNAs corresponding amino acid is attached (by aminoacyl-tRNA synthetases). tRNAs cope with the degeneracy of the genetic code in two manners: having more than one tRNA (with a specific anti-codon) for a particular amino acid; and 'wobble' base-pairing, i.e. permitting non-standard base-pairing at the 3rd anti-codon position. Lineage: Eukaryota; Viridiplantae; Streptophyta; Magnoliopsida; Fabales; Fabaceae. The record is from Rfam.
AGGGAUGUAGCACAGCUUGGUAAAGCGUUUGUUUUGGGUACAAAAUGUCACGGUUCAAAUCUUGUCAUCCAUA